This is a non-coding RNA of Vicia faba (fava bean), 177 nucleotides long. Lineage: Eukaryota; Viridiplantae; Streptophyta; Magnoliopsida; Fabales; Fabaceae. The record is from the annotation of a GenBank genome assembly.
AUGAAACUGAAGUUGAAUCAGAAGCGGCGAGUUGAAUCGGCAAUGGAGGAUGUUGAAGAAAUAGUUAGAGUGAGUGGUGAAGAAAGUGAUAACUCGGAAGCGUUGUAUUUGUUGGAAAGAUGUUACAAAUGGAAAGAGAUGAGAGAUGAGUUAACGAAUUACCUCGAAAACAGUUAA